GUAUUUAAAUUGCGUUAAAGCAACAUAUGACAUUCUAAGACAUACAGAGUGUAUAUGAAAGACAUGAGAAUCGUCCCGAGAGACGUCCCACAUUGAGUUCACAGGUGUAAGUGGAUUAAGAGCUCGGGCGUGCACAUGCCCCGAGAGGCCAGCGACAGCCUUUGCUUAUAAUUCGAUAAUGAUCCUUCCGCAGGUUCACCUACGGAAA
This 208-nucleotide unclassified non-coding RNA is filed under the name uncultured fungus. RNAcentral's name for it is "sequence contains ITS1". The record is from RNAcentral. Lineage: Eukaryota; Fungi.